UUUCCUCCUCAUUGUAAUGAAAACUGCAGUGGGGUUUCCUAUGAGGUCUUCUGUGUACUUUUAAUCAAAGUGGAAUUUCCACUUACCUCCUCCAUUUACCAGCUUAUAUAAAUUCAAGAGUGAGCUGAUAUCUGCAUUCAUACCAUUCUGUUCACAUCGUGACCUUCGUCCUCCUCAUCAUCAUCAUCACCAUCACCAUCAGCAGCCAUGGUCUCUCAUUCUCUCCUGCUGGUUCUGCUGGGUCUCGCCUGCCUUCAGUCCUUCACAAUGGCCAUCAAUGUAAAUGGACCAGAUCAGUGCUGUUUCAGAUACCAGACACAUCGAAUCCCUGUAAAACUCAUUACAGCGUAUAAGGAAACAGAACGUCAGUGUCAAAAACCUGGAGUCAUCUUCACUCUAAAGGACGGCCGUCAGGUGUGUGCAGACCGCAGCGUCAAGUGGGUGCAGAAACGCAUGAAAACAAUUGGCCAGCGCUCGACCUAACCUCAAACAACUGAUUAAAUCCUCUCUCCAUUAAUAAGAUUAUUUUGUGUAUUCACUGGAUCGAAGGAAUAAAGCUUUUUAUUAUAAAUCAUAUUGAAUCCUUUUCUUAGUUUAUUCUACAAUUAUGUAUCUGCAGUAAAUAUGGGAUAAUGUAAACUAUGAGAUGUAGCCAUUGAUUUUUUUUUUUUUUUUUUUUAAACACUGUGCAUGUUAAAGGAUUAAAGAACAAUGGAAUAUUAAGGCUAAGUUUCGGGGGGGUUGUUAAUUUUUUUAUUUUUUUAUUUUAAUGUUCACUUUUCAAAGAAAACCAUGUUCAUGUUACAUCUUUGAGAGCAACAUUUAAGAAUUAAAAAAAAAAAAACGUUUUCAGCACUCAGUAUGUGUACAUACUCGUUCAUGUCUCAAUCAAUCAAUCAAUCAAUCAAGCAGAUUAAAAGAUUAUAUAUGAUAUUAUUGAUAUAUUGAUAUGAUAUCAAACAUUUAAGAAAAUUACAUUAAAAAGUGUCAUUGGUUAAUGCAGAAAUUUCCAUCCGGAACAUUUUUAUGUAUUUAUGUAGACUCACAGAUGCAGAAAUUCACUCAUGGAUAGACAAAAUGAUUAUAUGAAUAGAAGAUUUUGGGGCGUGGCUGUGGGGAUUUUGGGGCGUGGCUGUGGGGAUUUUGAGCCGUGGCUGUGGGGAUUUGUGUUCAUUCAGCUACAAGAGCAUUAGUGAGGUCGAGGAGACUCCAGUUCCGGUUCAUCCCAAAGGUGUUCAGUGUGGUUGAGGUCAGGGCUCUGUGCAGAACACUCAAGUUCUUCAACCUUCUUCCAACCUUCACACACCACGUCUUCAUGGAGCUCGCUUUGUGCACACUGGGAACAGGUUUGGGAUUCUUAGUUCCAGUGAAGAGAAACUGUAAUAUUAGAGCAAACAAAGAUAUUCAAUACAAUUCUGUGCUUCCAACUUUGUGACAACAAUUUGGUGAAGAAACACAUACUGUAUGGAUGUGAUGUUCAGGUGCUGUUUUGGUGAAGGAGACAUUUAUUUAACAUUUAUGGAAGGAGUCUCUAGUGUCAGCGCUUUGUACCAGUCAGAGGUGAAACUGUAACAUUAAGCUUUCAGACAUCUUCAGGACAAGCUGCAUAUGUUCAUACUGGGGUAAAGCUAUAGUCCUUUACUUAAGUUUCUUUUAGGUUGUGUGUGUUUGUGGAUGAGAUUAAACACAGGGUUGGAAGGAAACACACUUCCAAGAUCACACUUUUCAAGAUCUUGUACUUCAGCGGUCAGUGGGUUAUAGAGUGGAGGAGCUGUAUAUGGCAUGACACUGAUGUGACCAGUGCGGCAUUUUCUAUGUAGUUAAACUAUAACUGACAAUGACGACACCAGUCUGGGAGUUUCCCCCGAGGAAAUACACAGUAAAGGAACACAGUUUCGCCGGUACAAUGAAAAGACAUGUUGUCCAAUUUAACAUAAAGGGAGACUUUCUUUUUUUUAUCCUUCAGCAUCAAAUGAAGAAAACGCUAAACGAGAGAAUUAGACAAUAGUCAGUCAUCAUACCCAUCGAAUGUCCACUAACAAAUGUAUGAUAACAAUGAUGUUGAAAUCUCACCAGCUUAAAGGGGACAUUUCCCCAUAUAUUUAUAGCACAGAGAGUAAC
This is a long non-coding RNA of Ictalurus furcatus (blue catfish), 2121 nucleotides long. RefSeq lists it as uncharacterized. The transcript has 3 exons. Lineage: Eukaryota; Metazoa; Chordata; Actinopteri; Siluriformes; Ictaluridae. The record is from RefSeq and is a predicted model, not a curated record.